RNAcentral lists this ribosomal RNA (383 nucleotides) under Enterococcus hirae. RNAcentral's name for it is "partial 16S ribosomal RNA". It matches the Rfam family "Bacterial small subunit ribosomal RNA", at positions 1 to 362 of the family's 1533-position model. The record is from RNAcentral. Lineage: Bacteria; Bacillati; Bacillota; Bacilli; Lactobacillales; Enterococcaceae.
UUUUAUGAGAGUUUGAUCCUGGCUCAGGACGAACGCUGGCGGCGUGCCUAAUACAUGCAAGUCGAACGCUUCUUUUUCCAUCGGAGCUUGCUCCACCGGAAAAAGAGGAGUGGCGAACGGGUGAGUAACACGUGGGUAACCUGCCCAUCAGAAGGGGAUAACACUUGGAAACAGGUGCUAAUACCGUAUAACAAUCGAAACCGCAUGGUUUUGAUUUGAAAGGCGCUUUCGGGUGUCGCUGAUGGAUGGACCCGCGGUGCAUUAGCUAGUUGGUGAGGUAACGGCUCACCAAGGCGACGAUGCAUAGCCGACCUGAGAGGGUGAUCGGCCACAUUGGGACUGAGACACGGCCCAAACUCCUACGGGAGGCAGCAGUAGGGAAU